Hyla sarda is the source of this 408-nucleotide long non-coding RNA. RefSeq lists it as uncharacterized. The record is from RefSeq and is a predicted model, not a curated record. The transcript is spliced from 4 exons. Lineage: Eukaryota; Metazoa; Chordata; Amphibia; Anura; Hylidae.
CUAUGAAGCUUUUCCUAUGUCUCCCUCCCCAUCAGGUUAUUGUGCUCAGAUAUGUGGCUGUGAUCAGGAAGAUUUGGCCACCAUGGUUCACACCUCCUAUCUGCCAGCUCUGAGAACCGCUUCCACUGGAUGUUUAGGGAAAGGUGGCAGCCCUAUCUGCUGCAGAUCAAAUCACCAGCAAGGCUCCCAGAGGACUAUGGACUAUGGAAGACUGACUGAGCGGAACUCGGACCAGCUUCAGUGGCGGUCUUUAAAGGUCAACUGUGAGUAAAAUUACUGGGAAGUUGAAACACUCCAAGUCAGCUACCAAAUGGACACCACAACAGGUCACGCUGGAGUGCAUAUGGUAUAAAAGAGGCCAAGGCUCUGUGGCAUUUAGCGAAUACCAGGAUAUUAAAGUUUGGUGGA